RNAcentral lists this ribosomal RNA (612 nucleotides) under Bacillus sp. (in: firmicutes). Its description in RNAcentral is "bacterial SSU rRNA". It matches the Rfam family "Bacterial small subunit ribosomal RNA", at positions 85 to 682 of the family's 1533-position model. The record is from RNAcentral. Lineage: Bacteria; Bacillati; Bacillota; Bacilli; Caryophanales; Bacillaceae.
UAUGAAGUUAGCGGCGGACGGGUGAGUAACACGUGGGUAACCUGCCCAUAAGACUGGGAUAACUCCGGGAAACCGGGGCUAAUACCGGAUAACAUUUUGAACCGCAUGGUUCGAAAUUGAAAGGCGGCUUCGUCUGACACUUAUGGAUGGACCCGCGUCGCAUUAGCUAGUUGGUGAGAUAACGGCUCACCAACGCAACGAUGCGUAGCCGACCUGAGAGGGUGAUCGGCCACACUGGGACUGAGACACGCCCCAGACUCCUACGGGAGGCAGCAGUAGGAAAUCUUCCGCAAUGCACGAAAGUCUGACGGAGCAACGCCGCGAGAGUGAUGAAGUCUUUCGGGUCGUAAAACUCUGUUGUUAGGGAAAAACAAGUGCUAUUUGAAUAAGCUGGCACCUUGACGGUACCUACCCAGAAACCCACGGCUAACUACGUGCCAACAGCCGCGGAAAUACGCAGGUGGCGAGCGUUAUCCGAAAUUAUUGCGCGUAAAGCGCGCGCAGGUGUUUUCUUAAGUCUGAUGUGAAAGCCCAGGGCUCAACCGUGGAGGGUCAUUGGAAACUGGGAGACUUGAGUGCAGAAGAGGAAAGUGGAAUUCCAUGUGUAGCGGU